GUUUUGAUAGUUUAAUUGAAAACUUCGGUCUUGUAAAUCGAAAAUGAAAAUAGAUAUUUCUCAAUACA
RNAcentral lists this transfer RNA (68 nucleotides) under Panulirus longipes. RNAcentral describes it as "tRNA-Thr". It matches the Rfam family "tRNA". From Rfam's summary of the family: Transfer RNA (tRNA) molecules are approximately 80 nucleotides in length. Their secondary structure includes four short double-helical elements and three loops (D, anti-codon, and T loops). Further hydrogen bonds mediate the characteristic L-shaped molecular structure. tRNAs have two regions of fundamental functional importance: the anti-codon, which is responsible for specific mRNA codon recognition, and the 3' end, to which the tRNAs corresponding amino acid is attached (by aminoacyl-tRNA synthetases). tRNAs cope with the degeneracy of the genetic code in two manners: having more than one tRNA (with a specific anti-codon) for a particular amino acid; and 'wobble' base-pairing, i.e. permitting non-standard base-pairing at the 3rd anti-codon position. RNAcentral also lists the same sequence under 1 other name. The record is from RNAcentral. Lineage: Eukaryota; Metazoa; Arthropoda; Malacostraca; Decapoda; Palinuridae.